Molecule: ribosomal RNA, 756 nt
Filed under: uncultured archaeon
Lineage: Archaea
Description: bacterial SSU rRNA
Rfam family: Archaeal small subunit ribosomal RNA
Source: RNAcentral
GGAUAACCUACCCUUAGGACCGGGAUAACCUUGGGAAACUGAGGAUAAUACUGGAUAGGCAAUUUUUCCUGUAAUGGUUUUUUGUUUAAAUGUUUUUUCGCCUAAGGAUGGGUCUGCGGCCGAUUAGGUAGUUGGUUAGGUAAUGGCUUACCAAGCCGUUGAUCGGUACGGGUUGUGAGAGCAAGAGCCCGGAGAUGGAACCUGAGACAAGGUUCCAGGCCCUACGGGGUGCAGCAGGCGCGAAACCUCCGCAAUGUGAGAAAUCGCGACGGGGGGAUCCCAAGUGCCAUUCUUAACGGGAUGGCUUUUCAUUAGUGUAAAGAGCUUUUGGAAUAAGAGCUGGGCAAGACCGGUGCCAGCCGCCGCGGUAACACCGGCAGCUCUAGUGGUAACAAUUUUUAUUGGGCCUAAAGCGUCCGUAGCCGGUUUAAUAAGUCUCUGGUGAAAUCCUGUAGCUUAACUGUGGGAAUUGCUGGAGAUACUAUUAGACUUGAGACCGGGAGAGGUUAGAGGUACUCCCAGGGUAGAGGUGAAAUUCUGUAAUCCUGGGAGGACCGCCUGUUGCGAAGGCGUCUAACUGGAACGGUUCUGACGGUGAGGGACGAAAGUUAGGGGCGCGAACCGGAUUAGAUACCCGGGUAGUCCUAACUGUAAACGAUGCGGACUUGGUGUUGGGGUGGCUUUGAGCUGUCCCAGUGCCGAAGGGAAGCUGUUAAGUCCGCCGCCUGGGAAGUACGGUCGCAAGACUGAAACUUA